GAUCCUGGCUCAGGAUGAACGCUAGCUACAGGCUUAACACAUGCAAGUCGAGGGGCAGCAUGGUCUUAGCUUGCUAAGACUGAUGGCGACCGGCGCACGGGUGAGUAACACGUAUCCAACCUGCCGUCUACUCUUGGACAGCCUUCUGAAAGGAAGAUUAAUACAAGAUGGCAUCAUGAGUCCGCAUGUUCACAUGAUUAAAGGUAUUUCGGUUAUCGAUGGGG
This 224-nucleotide ribosomal RNA is filed under the name uncultured bacterium. Its description in RNAcentral is "partial 16S ribosomal RNA". It matches the Rfam family "Bacterial small subunit ribosomal RNA", at positions 15 to 230 of the family's 1533-position model. The record is from RNAcentral.